RNAcentral lists this ribosomal RNA (253 nucleotides) under uncultured bacterium. RNAcentral describes it as "partial 16S ribosomal RNA". It matches the Rfam family "Bacterial small subunit ribosomal RNA", at positions 524 to 776 of the family's 1533-position model. The record is from RNAcentral.
UACGUAGGGGGCUAGCGUUGUCCGGAAUCAUUGGGCGUAAAGGGUGCGUAGGCGGCGCGGUAAGUCGGGUGUGAAAUCUCGGGGCUUAACUCCGAAACUGCAUUCGAUACUGCCGUGCUUGAGGACUGGAGAGGAGACUGGAAUUUACGGUGUAGCGGUGAAAUGCGCAGAUAUCAGGAAGAACACCCGUGGCGAAAGCGGCUCUCUGGAACGGUACUGACGCUGAGACGCGAAAGCGUGGGGAGCGAACAGG